RNAcentral lists this long non-coding RNA (1414 nucleotides) under Homo sapiens (human). Its description in RNAcentral is "HSALNT0054925". The record is from RNAcentral. Lineage: Eukaryota; Metazoa; Chordata; Mammalia; Primates; Hominidae.
AAAUUCCAGAAGAUGUCAUUUUUACUUGAGGGGAAAUUUCCCUCCUUUAUCCACCAAGAGGCAGUGGGUGUGCCCAGCAGGUGGAAUUCAUUAUGAAGAUGAGCAUCCUUGCCAGUGGGACUGGUGACCUGGCAUUCAACCACUCUCCCAGGGAAAGAAUCUAAACAUGGCAUGAGAUUUCAUCUGAGUGGUUCCAAGACAGUUUUGGAUUUGGAGGUGUGAGUAGAGUUCAAACCAGUACAAAUAUUGUGGGAAAAAGGCAAAGAACAGGGAAGGGGUGGCAAGAUAACCUAUAUGCUGUGGGGUGCUAACACAUGUUUAAUAACUGGCUCUUGGAGUUGGAAAGAGAACUCUGAUUUGCAGCGUUUGUGGAUUUCUGUGGUGUAAAGAUUCCCAAUAUGGGUAAUUGCAAGUUAACAACAGGAAGUCACUCAGCUCACAAAAUUCUUGAAUAUUAAACAAUCAGCCUUUCCUAGCUGGUAUGCGCUGGCUCUAGCACACCACUGCCUGCGUGGAUCAGGAAGUGGGUCUUAAGGUUGAGAGUGGGAGUGAUGGGGGCUUUUCGGGGGAAGUAUAAAGUCGGAAUCAUUUUCCCAGUGAUUUAGAGUACCGUGUGUUUCUUUGUUCAUAGUACUUAGGAUACUUGUUCAAGUAUUCUGAUACUUGUCUGCUUGCCCUCCUAGACUCCAUGGCAGAACUGCAUCUCUCUGGGUCACCGAUGUGUCCUAGCAUCUACCACAGUGCCUAGAACAUAGUAAAGCAGUUUUGAUUGGUCCAAAGAUCUGUAGAAUGCUACAUUUACUAGUAAAGUACCUACUAUGUGCUAGGCACUGUAGUUUUCCCUUGACAGGAAAAAAUCCAAUUCCAUCUUCAUAGCAGGCUUCUCAAAGUAUGACAGGGGACGUGAAGGCCAUUACAAGGGAAAGUGAGGGUCAGCUGUAGUCGUGAGAUUCCUACCAGCCCCAGUCAGAGGAGCUUUGGCAGCAGUUGGAAGAAACACAGCAGAGGAACAUCAGUUGCCACGACCACUGGAAAACACAAGUCUAUGUCUGUAUGUUCCUGGAGAAUGUCACUGUUGCUGGGGCAUCCCAAGCACUGAUGUGGACAGAUGCUAUCUGUUGGUAAAAUGAUUUCCUUAUGGCUCUUCAGUAGCCUAGACCCUGCAUUUUGUCUUAUCCCAUGGCCAUGUGCAGGUCAAAUGAGGCUGGGAACAUCUGUUCUGAGGCAGUAUUUUUUUUUUUAAGAUAAAAGUCAUCAGGGAUGAUUAAAACUUCAGAAUGAAAGGAGGUGAUUUCUGAAGAAUGUUCUCUUUGUCAUCUUUUCCUCCCGCUUCUUCCUCUUCAUCUUCUCCACUCAUAGUUUUGCACAGAGCUAAUGACUAAGUUAUGAAAAUAAAAGUCUUGCUGGCUACAAG